GGCUACGUAGCUCAGCUGGUUAGAGCACAGCACUCAUAAUGCUGGGGUCCUCAGUUCGAUUCUGAGCGUAGCCACCA
This 77-nucleotide transfer RNA is filed under the name Gammaproteobacteria bacterium. RNAcentral's name for it is "tRNA-Met". It matches the Rfam family "tRNA". From Rfam's summary of the family: Transfer RNA (tRNA) molecules are approximately 80 nucleotides in length. The record is from RNAcentral. Lineage: Bacteria; Pseudomonadati; Pseudomonadota; Gammaproteobacteria. RNAcentral also lists the same sequence under 5 other names.